GGUCCUCAUUGGAUGCUUGCCUUGGAGAAUUUUGCUUUGGCGAGACCGUGAGAGAUAUAUUGCUCAUUUUGGAGGUUUCGAAGAAGAUUAGCAGUACGGCUUACAUGUCGACUCAAAAACUGUGGUUAUAGUGCUGUCUUAAGUUUAGAAAAUGUUUCAGAAGCGCAGGAAAUGUUUUGGGACUUGGAAUAUGUUUUUUAGUGCAGUCUUGACUUAUAUGAGUAGUAUUUGUUCUACUCAAACUUAUGAAACUAUUUGUACUAUGAUGUUGCACCUAUUUAUGACAUUUGAAUAUUUAAUAUGUUAUUCUGGCAUAUUCUAUUGUAACGGGUGCCGACGUUUGUUAUUUAUUAAACAUUGCUGAUGUUUUCA
Molecule: non-coding RNA, 372 nt
Organism: Coffea arabica (coffee)
Lineage: Eukaryota; Viridiplantae; Streptophyta; Magnoliopsida; Gentianales; Rubiaceae
Source: RefSeq, a predicted model, not a curated record